This 754-nucleotide ribosomal RNA is filed under the name Triticum aestivum (bread wheat). Its description in RNAcentral is "partial small subunit ribosomal RNA". Lineage: Eukaryota; Viridiplantae; Streptophyta; Magnoliopsida; Poales; Poaceae. The record is from RNAcentral.
CGCCGCUCUACCAGAAAACACCUCUCCUCCCCUUAUCCUUAUCCUUUCCUUCCGUAUGCAUUUCUUCCCCACCACUUGCUCUCAAUCUCUUACGGGCAUGGCUUCCCCAAGCUACUGCGUCGCUUCCACCAAGGCCUCCUGCUCUCCCAUAGCUCCAUGCUGCUGACCUGCUUCAUCAAUUCGAGGGGCUGAUCUGCUACAGUGGCGCUGCCAAUCCACUCAUGCUAGCUUCUUUUGUCUUCUGGAUGCAACGAGGGUUGACUGCGUGAGCUGCCGCUGGUUGUUGCUGGAGGUCAGGUGUCGCGCGGCAGGAGCAGGAGACGCGGAGUUGCGCGUGGCAGGGACGACGCCGCCGCAUGCCGGUUGAAAUUGCGGGCGGCGGGGAGGGUUGAGAUCCACUCUCCCAGGGAUGGAUCCGGCUACCAAAUUUCCCACACGGUUGUAGCUUUUUUAGUCGCCGGUAGUAGCAAUCUGCUUAACGGGUUGCAUCCUUCUAAAUCGCCUGGUUCCAGCUUUUUUUAUUUAAAUCGCUGGUGUUGCAUCUUUUCUUGAAAUCAUCGGUUCCAGCUUCCCAAAUCACCGGUUGUAGGUUUUUGAUCAGCCCAUUGUAGCUUUUUGGAUCCUUAGUACCAGUUUCAAAUCAUCCGUUGUAGCUUUUUCAUCGGCCGAUUGCAACUUUUUUAAUCGCCGGUUCCAGCAUUUUGAAUUGCUGGUUCCAGCUUCUAAUUAGUUUGUUUGCAUUUUUUAAUCGCUG